UACGUAGGUGGCAAGCGUUGUCCGGAUUUACUGGGCGUAAAGGGAGCGUAGGCGGACUUUUAAGUGAGAUGUGAAAUACCCGGGCUCAACUUGGGUGCUGCAUUUCAAACUGGAAGUCUAGAGUGCAGGAGAGGAGAAGGGAAUUCCUAGUGUAGCGGUGAAAUGCGUAGAGAUUAGGAAGAACACCAGUGGCGAAGGCGCUUCUCUGGACUGUAACUGACGCUGAGGCUCGAAAGCGUCGGGAGCAAACAGG
This 253-nucleotide ribosomal RNA is filed under the name uncultured bacterium. RNAcentral describes it as "partial 16S ribosomal RNA". It matches the Rfam family "Bacterial small subunit ribosomal RNA", at positions 524 to 776 of the family's 1533-position model. The record is from RNAcentral.